GUGCUAGGUUGCUCAAAUUUUCAUCUCUAUGGCUACUUCCUCUCUAGCUCUCUUCCAUUUUUUUGCUUCUCAAAUACCAUGCAUUUCUUUCAAUUUCCUUUAUUUCCUCGCAUUUUAGCACCCAAUGCUGAAUGAUUCUGUUGUAUUUGCCAUUUUGGAGGUUUGUUUUAGUGGUUCAACUCUUGCAUAGUGUUUGCCAUCUAAAAUACUAUUUUUUGGAGCAAUUGUGUUCUUAGAUCUUGACAAUGAUAUCCAUCUAGCAGGGUCUACAAAGAGAUUGUAGAUUUAAGAUAAAUUAGCUAAGGUAAUAUUUUUUUUAUUUUUCUUUGUUUAAUGCGCUGAGUUUAUGGCUAAUCUGUUACUUUUCUAUUUUUCCGGUAGUUGUUCUUGGAUUUUCUAUAUGCAUGUUAUAAUUGUAUUGAUUACACAUGGACGUUUGGGAUUUAUGUUUAUAUAAUCUCUAACUUUUUGUGGAUUACCUUACCGUUCUCUGUUUAAAUCCGCUUGUAAUAUUAGUGAUGCCCAUAAAGUGUUUGAUAAUAUCUCCACUAGAAAAAAGCUUAUCUAUUUCUAAAUUUGCUUUAUAAUUUUUUUAUUGGGACUGUUUGACACGGUGAAAAUAUUCCAAUAUUAUCUUUAUGUUUAUAGGUAAUGAAGAAAAUAUUUAUAUUUCUUUUUGUUAUCUUUGUUCAAUAUUUUGAUGAGUUUGUUAACAGUUAGUAGUUCAUAUGGAUUAGUGCUUUCAUGUGCUGGAAUCAAGCUUUUGGGUUUAUAGUUUAAAGAUCGCGAUUUUGAAAUUUAGGUUCAAGCGUAUGGUUUGCCUUUAUGUGUUAGAGCUGAUGAUUUUUUUACCGCUAAAGAUAAUUUGCUAUCUUUUUCUUUAUAUGCAAUAUAUAUUUCUCUGAUAUAUUCACUAUAUGAAGUGCAACACUCAAUUGUCAGCGGCAUAAUUAGUAAAUAUAUUACGUAUUUAUUAUACUUAAAUUAGUAAAUAUAUUAUGUGUUAUAUAUUAUACUGAAGGAUGUUUCGUGCCAUGGCUUAAAACACUACUCUUUCUUGUGUUGUUUAGUUCUAUUAUUAUGUAUUGAUCUAUUAGUGCAUACCCAGACCCCACUUGUGGGAUUAUACUGGGUCGUUGUUGUUGAUCUAUUAGUGCAUACCCAGACCCCACUUGUGGGAUUAUACUGGGUCAUUGUUGUUGAUCUAUUAGUGCAUAUCGCAAGAUUAAAAUCAUUGUUCAUCAAAUUGGAACUAAAGAGAAGAAAAAGACCAAACUUUUUGUUUAAUUGCAAGAAAAAGCCAUUUAGAUGUCGUUAUGUUUUUAAAUGGGAAGCUGGUUAAAGAAACCAACAGAUGGAAUACUUUCCACAACUUACAAUGAAAGUUCUCAUGAAAAAAUUGGGAAUUGAAUGGAUCAAAAUGGAUAUCAUGAUACAAUAGCAGCUUUCUCAAUACUUUUUGUCUUUCUAUUCAUGUAAAAAGUUCGUAAUAUCGCAAAAGAGUUUCUUUCUCAGACUAUUUAUAGUUCAGCUUUAUAUCCUAAAGGUCUAUCAUCUGACUGCUUUGCUUCUAAAGUUGUAUUCAUCUUUAUAUCUUACGAUUUUGUUUUUCCUUUAUCUUCGUCUUUGCCGAACUUUUGUUGUCAUUUCCAGUUUUUUCUUUUAUACGGGUUUAGUAGGAUUGUUAUCAUUUAAAUUUCUCCACACAUAAUGAGAAACAUAUGUUUUGAUCACAGGCUUUUUCUUGCAUUUUCAGGUUACUGCUAGGCACUAUAUGCCUGAGACACACCGCCUGCUAUUUGAUGUUAACUAUUCUACUCAUUCUGGGGGAUAUUAUUCGGUCAACCCAAAGCAAGGUAGCAAUAUUCUAAUUCUCCAAAAUUAUAUGGUGAUUCAUCAACUAUAUUAUUUUGUUAUGAUGUCACUGAUGUCGAGUUUAUGGAUAUUGAUUUGGAUAAUCUUGGAUUCUAUUUGAUGCCAACUGAUUAUACAUAUGUAACAAAAGCUCUGAAUAUGGACAGUUUAAAUACAAGGCUAGCCAUAGGGAUGUACAGUUGAGCCCCUAUGCUGGUGCCUUGAACUAUGUACAGUAAUUUUUUUUCAAAUUCGACCAAAAUUUAUAACACACUCAUGCGAAGAAUAUUUCACAAAAUUUGAUUGAAGCGGGCUUUGGUUUAAGGUACAUAAGCACAUAGAAGAGAGAAUAAACUAUUUCGCCCUCAUCACAAUGCACAUUGGUUCUGAGAAAAUAUGCACGUCAUGGCCUUCGAUUGAUAAAUUUGUCAUCAUUGUUGGAGUUGUUAACCAAAUGCUCUAGGUGAUAAGAGAUCAAAAUGGAUAUCAUGAUACAAUUGCAGCUUUCUCAAUACUUUUUGUCUUUCUAUUCAUGUAAAAAGUUCAUAAUAUCGCAAAAGAGUUUCUUUCUCAGACUAUUUAAAGUUCAGCUUUAUAUCCUAAAGGUCUAUCAUCUGACUGUUUUGCUUCUGAAGCUGUAUUCAUCUUUAUAUCUUACGAUUUUGUUUUUCCUUUAUCUUCGUCUUUGCCGAACUUUUGUUGUCAUUUCCAGUUUUUUCUUUUAUAUGGGUUUAGUAGGAUUGUUAUCAUUUAAAUUUCUCCACACAGAAUGAGAAACAUAUGUUUUGAUCACAGGCUUUUUCUUGCAUUUGCAGGUUACUGCUAGGCACUAUAUGCCUGAGACACACCGUCUGCUAUUUGAUGUUAACUAUUCUACUCAUUCUGGGGGAUAUUACUCGGUCAACCCAAAGCAAGGUAGCAAUAUUCUAAUUCUCCAAAAUUAUAUGGUGAUUCAUCAACUAUAUUAUUUUGUUAUGAUGUCACUGAUGUCGAGUUUAUGGAUAUUGAUUUGGAUAAUCUUGGAUUCUAUUUGAUGCCAACUGAUUAUACAUAUGUAACAAAAGCUCUGAAUAUGGACAGUUUGAAUACAAGGCUAGCCAUAGGGAUGUACAGUUGAGUCCCUAUACUGGUGCCUUGAACUAUGUACAGUAAUUUUUUUUCUCAAAUUUGACCAAAAUUUAUAACACACAUGCGAAUAAUAUUUCACAAAAUUUGAUUGAAGCAGGGUUUGGUUUAAGGUACAUAAGCACAUAGAAGAGAGAAUAAACUAUUUCGCCCUCAUCAGAAUGCACAUUGGUUCUGAGAAAAUAUGCAUGCCAUGGCCUUCGAUUGAUAAAUUUGUCAUCAUUGUUGGAGUUGUUAACCAAAUGCUCUAGGUGAUAAACCUUGCAUAAUUAUUUUUCUGUAAACUUAUGACACAUCUUACCUAGAUCUUGCAAUUAUUAUCUCAUAUGGUGUUCAUUCUUCGGUUUGAAUAAGCUCUAAGAUAUUAGGCAUGGGGCAAGUAAGUCAUAUCUGUAUGUGAUGUAAACUAGAUAAAUGAAUUAUUAAUAGUGAAUGACUUGAUUUACGAAUGACUUGAAUGGCAAAAUGUUGAACUAGAAUAGUAUAUGCAUGGCACUCUUUUCUUAACUUUAUUUUUGAGAUAUUUGAUGUCCCCAUGUGUUAUAUGCCUGAAACGACUAAAUAAUAUUUUACUAUUUUUCUUUUGACGGAUGUUCUACAACGUACUUAUAUAUAUCAGUCAUGAAUUGGAUACAUUAUUUACUUCUAUUAGAUAGUAGCGGUUAACAAUAUUUAUGGGGUUGGCUCUAUUAUACUUUCGUUGUUUUUCUUUAUUAUCUUUGUUUAGUGCGGUGAAAUAUGGUCAUUGGUAAUAGUCGAUGUGACUUAGACUCUAAAACACAGUUGGCGCUUUAUACUGGUUCUAAAGAAACAUAUAUCUGAGGUUAGCUCUUUCUACUCUUUUUUCUUUUUCAAAGUAUAGAGGCCAAGUUCGCAUAUCCUACGCUUUGUAAGAAAGAAGGUUGUCCUUUCUUAGAUAUCAACCGAUAUAGCAACUAUGACGCUAAAGUUUUCUAUAUAAGCUAGAUAAAAUUGUCAUAUUUUUGGAUUAAUAAUGUAGGUUAACAAAGAGGAAUGCGAAGGAGAAAGGAUUUUCAGAUUUGCUGUAUCUUGAUUCAGUCAUUAAGUGAUAUAUGGAAAAGGUCUCUCUUUAGUAUAUUCCUUACCAAGGGAAGUGUACUUUCAACUCUUACAGCCAGAAGAGGAACUAUCGCUAGCACUCCAUGCGUAACAGUCUUUGAAGCCUUAUCGGUAAUUAUCUUUUUUUUAGAGAUUUCCUUUUAAAGUGGAAGAAGAUUCAUGCUUCAAAUGCGCGCUUUUUCAUUGAACAUAUAAGAUAUUCGUGAGGUUUAAGCACACAGAGAUAGUGAUUGUAAUUUUUGUUGACAAUUUCAGUUUCUAUCAGUUUGUUGUAGCAGCUAUUGUGAAUUUAUAAUGCUGCAAUAAAUAGAAGAAAUAUAUGAGAACAUAUUAUUUAACGUUUCUACAGGUACUUUAUUCUGUUAGACAUGCAUAUCUUAGGUACUUUUGAGGAUUAAUUUAAUUUUGCGACACUCAGAAUGCUUGUAUAUAAAAACAAAUUAUGUUACUUUAGCUACGUGAAAUUUUAUUUUAGUGUGUGUGUAUAUACACAUAAUUUUUGUGAUCAUUAUAAUUGUUU
RNAcentral lists this long non-coding RNA (4579 nucleotides) under Nicotiana tabacum (common tobacco). RNAcentral's name for it is "long non-coding RNA (NTAB_LNC005104)". Lineage: Eukaryota; Viridiplantae; Streptophyta; Magnoliopsida; Solanales; Solanaceae. The record is from RNAcentral.